Long non-coding RNA from Ziziphus jujuba (common jujube), 1553 nucleotides. RefSeq lists it as uncharacterized. The record is from RefSeq and is a predicted model, not a curated record. The transcript is spliced from 2 exons. Lineage: Eukaryota; Viridiplantae; Streptophyta; Magnoliopsida; Rosales; Rhamnaceae.
CAGUACCAAUAUAAAUAUUAAUUCAGAAACCAAAAAGUAAUUACUAUAGACAGUAAGAUGUCAAAAAACAAAAAAUAAAAAAUAAAAUAAGAAAAAAGGGUCCACACUCCAUAGCAUUUACAAAGCUUUUGGGAGACCUGCAAUUUUGCUACUGCUUCACCUUCGUUGAGUAGCAACUUCAGAAAGAGCCAAAAUGGAAAGUAGAACACAUCACUUUCAAUAUUCUUCUUCCCCUUCAUGGCUCAAGGCCAUAUCAUACGCACCAUAGACAUGGUCAAGCUAUUCGCUUCUCGAGGUUUGAAAGCAACCAUUACUACCACUCCUUGCCAUGUCCCUCUUUUCUCCAAAACAUCGGCGUUUAAGAUUCUUUCAUCAAUGUUUUAACGUUCGAAUUUCCAUGCGUGGAGAACGGAUUGCAUGCGAGAGCGUUCACAUAGCCUCUUCCCCUGAUCUGCAAUCCAAAUUCUACAAGGCUACUGCCAUGCUUGCUCCACAACUUGAACGGCUUCUACAACAACACCGUCCCGACUGCCUUGUGGCCGACAUUCUCUUUCCUUAGGAUACCCACGUUGCGGCUCGACAUGGGAUUCCUGGGUGAUAACAUCACGUUCACAAAAACCCAAUCACCAGAAAUUCUUAGAGAGGACAAUGAGGAAUCGGAAUUGUUAAAACUCUACAACGAAAUUCCAGAAGUGGUGAAGAGAAGCUAAGGAAUUCUGAUUAACAGCUUCUACGUGCUCGAACCGGUUUAUGCUGAUCAUUACAGGGAGGAAUUGGGAAUUAAGGCAUGGCACAUCGGGCCUCUGUUAUUAUGCAAUAACCUUGCCGGAGCAAACGGGGGAAUAGAACCCUCCAUUGAUGUACAAGAAUUCAUGAAUUGGCUUGAUUUGAAGAAACCCAAUUUAAGUUGUUUAUGUUUGUUUUGGAAGUUUGGCAGAUUUUGACGAUGCUUAGCUAUUGGAGAUUGCAUUUAGUCCUGAAGCUUCAGGGCAGGAAUUCAUUUGGGUUGUGAAGAAAGAAGAGCAAGGAGGUGUUAAAGCAGACUGGUUGCCUGAAUGAAGGAAAGGGACUGAUCAUAAGAGGUUGGGCACUUGCGCAGGGUUGCCAAUGGUCACAUGGCCAGUCUGGGCUGAGCAAUUUUACAAUGAGAAGCUGAUCACUCAAAAUACUUGGAAUGGGGUUCGGUGUCGGUAACCAGCGGAAGAGUAUAAUUAUGGGGGACUUGUGAAGAGGGAAGCCAUAGAGAAAGCUGUGAGGCCAUUUAUGGAGAGUGAGGAAGCAGAGCCAGAGUUCUUGGGGAAAUGGCAAGAAAGGCUGUCGAAGAAGGUGGGUCUUCAGAAUGACUUGAGCGCCUUAAUUGAAGAAUUGAAACUACGUAGGAUGGUCCGUCAUUCAAGUUAGAAGAGUUCUGUUAUUUUAUUGACUAGGCUUGCUUUUCUAUAUAUAUAUUGUUUCGUUCUGAGUUUUACAAGUCAAUUCCACUGAAAAGGUCGUUUUAACAAUGUCAUGAAAUGAUUGUGGGUUGAAGAAGGUCUUUGGUGACUUUUCUAAUA